Molecule: ribosomal RNA, 394 nt
Filed under: Clostridioides difficile
Lineage: Bacteria; Bacillati; Bacillota; Clostridia; Peptostreptococcales; Peptostreptococcaceae
Description: bacterial LSU rRNA
Rfam family: Bacterial large subunit ribosomal RNA
Source: RNAcentral
UGGUCAAGUUAUUAAGGGUGCAGGGCGGAUGCCUUGGCACUAGGAGCCGAUGAAGGACGUGAUAAGCUGCGAUAAGCUUCGGGGAGUUGCACGUAAACUUUGAUCCGAAGAUUUCCGAAUGAGGAAACUCACUUAGAGUAAUGUCUAAGUAUCAUUAAGUGAAUACAUAGCUUAAUGAGGGGAACUCAGGGAACUGAAACAUCUAAGUACCUGAAGGAAGAGAAAGAAAUUCGAUUCCGUAAGUAGCGGCGAGCGAACGCGGAUUAGCCCAAACCAAUAAAGUGUUCUUUAUUGGGGUUGCGGACAUAUCAUAACGAAGAGGUAUCGUAAUUGAAGAGGUUUGGAAAGACCCACCACAGAAGGUAAUAGUCCUGUAUGUUAAACGAGAAGACUU